This 907-nucleotide long non-coding RNA is filed under the name Callithrix jacchus (white-tufted-ear marmoset). Its description in RNAcentral is "lncRNA (ENSCJAG00000063979.2)". Lineage: Eukaryota; Metazoa; Chordata; Mammalia; Primates; Cebidae. The record is from RNAcentral.
AUAAACCUUGAGUUGCCUGUCAAGUAGGAAUUCCCCAUCUCAAGUUUCUGAAUUUUAUACUAGAAUUAUUUUAAACAUAUGUGGUUAUAAGCUUAUCAGAUUUCCAGAAAUGAACCUUCUAUAAAAAUCACACUGGGCCCCUCAGCUGUGUUUUCUUCCAUUAUUUAUAGACAAAUUAAAAACAAAUGUUUUUUUCAAAAAAAUACAAUGAACUGAAAACAGCUGUCAGGAUGUGCUUUUUCUCUAGAAUUCAUCUGUAAUACGGAAGUGUAGUAAACCAGCACUUAAGUCUCUUGAAAUCAUUCCAUAUUUAAUGGUUUUAGCAUUAAUUCAGAGGUAAGUAUUAAUGCUUGCUGUAACAAGACCUAAGUGGCUCAUUUAACUCAGUGAAGAUUCUGAUUAAAGCAAGGGACAUGGGGCAAAAUGCAAAUAUUUCAAUUUGGAGUGUCUUAGUUGCAAAUAUAUUUUACAAAGAAGAGACUUUUUGAAAAUUCAUUUGAAGUGUUUUAAUAAUUAUUAUAGAGAUGCUUCUGGACAUUUCUCUCAAUAGCUACUGAAGCCUGGAGUGAAUGCCUGACCACUAUACAAGAUCGCAGAAAAGGUGUUGAUCCUGAGUGCUUUGUUAAAAACAUUCUGCAUGCUGACCUCCGUCUCAGUGUUUGCUUCCUGGGGAAACCUGAAACAGGACUCGAUGCUAGAAGCUAUCCAGAAGAACCAGAUUGGCCACUGUCCUUGCCAGAAGAUCCGAUCUCCUGUCUAUGGCCACCACCUAACACUGCUCACUUCUACAUCUAAACCUCAGAGUGCGAGCCCUGUGAAAACGAGAACCUCAUCUGUCUCCUUCACCACUGGAACUCCAGCAUCCAGAAUAGUCCCUGGACCUGAUGAGGUAUUCCAAAAAUAUUAG